Molecule: ribosomal RNA, 466 nt
Filed under: uncultured bacterium
Lineage: Bacteria
Description: partial 16S ribosomal RNA
Rfam family: Bacterial small subunit ribosomal RNA
Source: RNAcentral
GAUGAACGCUGGCGGCGUGCUUAACACAUGCAAGUCGAACGAUGAAGCCCAGCUUGCUGGGUGGAUUAGUGGCGAACGGGUGAGUAACACGUGAGUAACCUGCCCUUAACUCUGGGAUAAGCCUGGGAAACUGGGUCUAAUACCGGAUAGGAGCGUCCACCGCAUGGUGGGUGUUGGAAAGAUUUAUCGGUUUUGGAUGGACUCGCGGCUUAUCAGCUUGUUGGUGAGGUAAUGGCUCACCAAGGCGACGACGGGUAGCCGGCCUGAGAGGGUGACCGGCCACACUGGGACUGAGACACGGCCCAGACUCCUACGGGAGGCAGCAGUGGGGAAUAUUGCACAAUGGGCGCAAGCCUGAUGCAGCGACGCCGCGUGAGGGAUGACGGCCUUCGGGUUGUAAACCUCUUUCAGUAGGGAAGAAGCGAAAGUGACGGUACCUGCAGAAGAAGCACCGGCUAACUACGUG